UACGGAGGGUGCGAGCGUUGUCCGGAAUCAUUGGGCGUAAAGGGCGCGUAGGCGGCUCGGUCAGCGUGCGGUGAAAGCUCGGGGCUCAACCCCGAGUCGGCCGUGCGAACUGCUGGGCUUGAGCACUGUAGAGGCAGGCGGAAUUCCGGGUGUAGCGGUGGAAUGCGUAGAGAUCCGGAAGAACACCGGUGGCGAAGGCAAUCCCCUGGACCUGUACUGACGCUCAUGCACGAAAGCGUGGGGAGCAAACAGG
RNAcentral lists this ribosomal RNA (253 nucleotides) under uncultured bacterium. RNAcentral describes it as "partial 16S ribosomal RNA". It matches the Rfam family "Bacterial small subunit ribosomal RNA", at positions 524 to 776 of the family's 1533-position model. The record is from RNAcentral.